Molecule: ribosomal RNA, 261 nt
Filed under: uncultured archaeon
Lineage: Archaea
Description: partial 16S ribosomal RNA
Rfam family: Archaeal small subunit ribosomal RNA
Source: RNAcentral
CAGCCGUAAACUAUGCGCGUUAGGUGUACUGGUGACCACGAGUCACCGGGGUGCCGAAGGGAAACCGUGAAACGUGCCGCCUGGGAAGUACGGUCGCAAGGCUGAAACUUAAAGGGAUUGGCGGGGGAGCACCACAACGGGUGGAGCCUGCGGUUUAAUUGGACUCAACGCCGGAAAUCUCACCGGAUAGGACAGACAUAUGAUAGUCGGGCUGAAGACUCUACUUGAUGAUCUGAGAGGAGGUGCAUGGCGUCAGUGACU